UUUAUGGAGAGUUUGAUCCUGGCUCAGGAUGAACGCUGGCGGCGUGCCUAAUACAUGCAAGUCGAGCGGUAAGGCCCCUUCGGGGGUACACGAGCG
RNAcentral lists this ribosomal RNA (96 nucleotides) under Candidatus Saccharimonadota bacterium. RNAcentral's name for it is "partial 16S ribosomal RNA". It matches the Rfam family "Bacterial small subunit ribosomal RNA", at positions 1 to 97 of the family's 1533-position model. The record is from RNAcentral. Lineage: Bacteria; Candidatus Saccharimonadota.